RNAcentral lists this ribosomal RNA (111 nucleotides) under Elsinoe eucalyptigena. RNAcentral's name for it is "partial 18S ribosomal RNA". The record is from RNAcentral. Lineage: Eukaryota; Fungi; Ascomycota; Dothideomycetes; Myriangiales; Elsinoaceae.
GUAAAAGUCGUAACAAGGUUUCCGUAGGUAAGUUAAAACAGUUCCGUCCCCACACAACGGGGCGCACAGACGCUAACAUUUCUCUCAGGUGAACCUGCGGAAGGAUCAUUA